RNAcentral lists this non-coding RNA (228 nucleotides) under Janthinobacterium sp. Lineage: Bacteria; Pseudomonadati; Pseudomonadota; Betaproteobacteria; Burkholderiales; Oxalobacteraceae. The record is from RNAcentral.
UUACAAUGGCGCAGUUUUGGUGCCCGCGGAUAUGUCCAUAUCCGCAGUUAAACGGGAAAUACGAUGCCUGAUGGCAAACGUGUGCUGCCCCCGCAACGGUAAGCAAGCGUCAGUUCGAAGCAUUAGUUCAACUGGCAGAUCGCCCCUCAAACCACUGUGCAUCUUGCAUGGGAAGGUGGGACGUUCAGGCUUGUCAGCCCGGAUACCGGCCAGAACAGGUGAAAGCAA